RNAcentral lists this transfer RNA (101 nucleotides) under Gammaproteobacteria bacterium. Its description in RNAcentral is "tRNA-Ala". The record is from RNAcentral. Lineage: Bacteria; Pseudomonadati; Pseudomonadota; Gammaproteobacteria.
GCCUCAGUGGCGGAAUUGGUGGACGCAGGGACUGGCACUCCCCCGGAAUGUUGCAGUACACGCUGCACACCGUGCGGAUUGGACUCCCGCCUGGGGCACCA